CGGUUGAUCCUGCCGGACCCGACUGCUAUUUGGGUGAGGAUAAGCCAUGCGAGUUGAAUGGGAUANNNAAAGUUCCCAUAGCAAACUGCUCAGUAACACAUGAUCAACUUACCCUAUAGAGAAAAAUAACCUCGGGAAACUGAGGAUAAUGUUUCAUAACUGAAUUGGCUUGGAAAAGUUUUUCAGUGAGAGGGAUAAAAUAAAUGGUUUUUAUCUGCUAUAGGAUAGGAUCGUGUUCGAUUAUGGUUGUUGGUGAGGUAAUGGCUCACCAAGCCGAUAAUCGAUAGGGGCCGUGAGAGCGGGAGCCCCGAGAUGGGUACUGAGACAACGACCCAGGCCUUACGAGGCGCAGCAGGCGCGGAACCUCCGCAAUACACGAAAGUGUGACGGGGUUACCCAAAGUGUUCAAUUCUGAACUGUGGUAGGUGAGUAAUGUUCCCUACUAGAAAGGAGAGGGCAAGGCUGGUGCCAGCCGCCGCGGUAAAACCAGCUCUUCAAGUGGUCGGGAUAAUUAUUGGGCUUAAAGUGUCCGUAGCCGGUUUAGUAAGUUCCUGGUAAAAUCGGGUAGCUUAACUAUCUGUAUGCUAGGAAUACUGCUAUACUAGAGGGCGGGAGAGGUCUGAGGUACUACAGGGGUAGGGGUGAAAUCUUAUAAUCCUUGUAGGACCACCAGUGGCGAAGGCGUCAGACUGGAACGCGCCUGACGGUGAGGGACGAAAGCCAGGGGAGCGAACCGGAUUAGAUACCCGGGUAGUCCUGGCCGUAAACGAUGCAUACUAGGUGAUGGUACGGCCAUGAGCCGUAUCAGUGCCGUAGGGAAACCGUUAAGUGUGCCGCCUGGGAAGUACGGUCGCAAGGCUAAAACUUAAAGGAAUUGGCGGGGGAGCAC
Molecule: ribosomal RNA, 889 nt
Filed under: uncultured archaeon
Lineage: Archaea
Description: bacterial SSU rRNA
Rfam family: Archaeal small subunit ribosomal RNA
Source: RNAcentral